CCAUCCAGUCACCCAGCCUCGGGAUGGACCCAUCAUCGCUGACGCCUCCACUUCUUUCACAUCCCAAGUCAGGUACGUCUCCAGUUCCUGAUAAUUGUAUGUCCUACAUGCCACUCAACGCUGCCUCUUCCUCCCUGUUUUCACCAUCGCAGUCUGGCUUCUGUCAUUACCGUCCGUCUUUCAUACCGUCGUAGCUCUUCUGCUGGUCUCACUGCCUCUUUUGGGGAUCUUGUUACUCUACCUCUAUUAACUCUUUGACAGUGUAAAAAAGAUCAUGCUUUUAUUAAAAAAAUAUGAAUUUAUUAACACAGCACAACCCUCUUCUCUCCCCAUUCUGGUUCUUUAAACCCUCAUUCCCAGUUAUAGCAAAGCUGGAAUCUUCCCAGAGAGUCCAGACUUUCUCUUUCUGAAGACUUGGCACACACUGGGUUUCUGCUUAGGAAGGUUUUCCUUGUCUGCUCUUCUUCUGAAUCCUUGUAUUCACCUUUUUUGCUGCGUCUCAGGGGUCACUUCCUUAAGGAAACUUCUUCUAACCCUGCCAAUAAGAGCCUGUCUGUGCCUUGUGAUCAGUGGUUUCCUUGGUCAGGCAGGGAUAUUGCCACGAGUAGUAUAUCUCCAGCAUGCAGCUAGAUUCCUAGCACAGACUAGGCUCUCGAUAGAUGUUUAAGGAAUGAAUUAUGAAUGAAUGAUUGGAAAGCUUGCCAAUAGCGUGUCAUAGUAUUGACGUGGGUCCAUUGUAUAAACAAUCUCCAAGUACGUUUGCAAACACAUUUCUACUUGUGGCUAUUUGGGAAAGAAAACAGUGAAAACAAACAAACAAAAAAGGCUGUAUGUGCAACACCAAUAAAAAGGAAGUUUGGCCCUGAGUGCAUAAACAGACCAUCUGACCUUUUGCUGCUAAUAGUCUAAAUUGAUUGAUUACAUGAAUUCCAGAAGUGUGUGUGUGUUUUGUUUGUUUUUUGUUUUUUGUUUUGUUUGUUUUUUUUUGUCUUUUGUCUUUUUGUUGUUGUUGUUGUUGUUGCUAUUUCUUGGGCCGCUCAAGCGGCAUAUGGAGGUUCCCAGGCUAGGGGUUUAAUGGGAGCUGUAGCCACGGGCCUACGCCAGAGCCACAGCACCGCGGGAUCCGAGCCGCGUCUGCAACCUACACCACAGCUCACGGCAACGCCGGAUCCUUAACCCACUGAGCAAGGGCAGGGACCGAACCCGCAAUCUCAUGGUUCCUAGUCGGAUUCGUUAACCACUGCGCCACGACGGGAACUCCCAUAGUUUGUUUUAAACAUAGCUGUGGGCUAAGCUUAAUCGAGAUUUUUAUUUAACAUGAUGUAUUUAUUUGGAACCAGAGGCCUUUGGGGACCUUUGGGGACCUUUGCUGUCUGGAUUUACGGCACCAAGAAUGUGCAGCGAGUGUGUGUGGGGCAGCAUGUGGGUUGUGGUGUGGAGCAGGUGACGGGCUGUGAGAGGUCUGUCCCCUUCCGUCUAAAAGCAGCUCGAGACUGGAGUAAGAGUCAUACCGAUACCUCAUAAUGUUUUCUAUUUUAACUCUGGAAACUCCCCUACUUCCCUUCGCAAAGGCAUAUUUUUCAUGACAUGAUUUCUUCUGGUUGACAAAUUCCUUUUUAUUCUUCCCCAAUAGAAUGUAUCAGUUUCCUUUUUGGCAUUCCAGUUUAGUUUUAUAGCCCCAAACUUCAGAUUUUAGAACUGGUGUUUAAAAGUUCAUUCCUUCUGAGAAAACAAGUAGGAAAACAGUGUCCGACAUUAUAAAGGUGAACCCUGUGCUCCACCUGCACAGCAUUACAACUGGCUAAUAGCAGUUUCAUUUGGGGGAGGUAUCUCCUAAAGAUGCAUAAGGGUUCAUGUUUUAAUAGUUUUCAUGUUUUCCCCUUUUUACUUUCUCUUUAUAGAAAUUGGAGACAUUUGUGUUUCAUCACGGUCCCUCCAGGGUUAUUGCAAAUUCUGACAGUAUCAUUAAAGCUACUUUGAACCUUCUAUUUUUUAUGUACUUAUUUAUUUCGCAGACUUUAGCAAGCUUAGAAUUAAUGUUUUCACUAUUUUCUCAACCUUUUAUUAAUCCAUAUAAAAAAUUUAAAGCUACCGACUCAUCAUAUUGCUUUUUCACUCAGCGUUGUCUUAGGGUUAUGCUAACAAACAGCUGACGAGGACGCUAUAUUUCUCAGCUAACAAGGUAGGAAGCAAGGGACAAGAGUCACCCUUCCCAACUUGAAGAAGAGAAAGUGGAAAAUAAGUAUUAGGAGGCGCCUCAGGAAACCCGAGUAUUUUCACCCUGCUUAUUUCCACUACUCCAAAUGGAAAUAUUGCUCAAAGGAGAAUUUUUCACGCCACCUCCUGUAUCUUGAAACGAAAUACAUGCAUUUUCUUUUAAAAUGUAAGAAUUUUAAUGGCUUUUUUCACACAAUUCUGUGUUUGUCUCUCCUUACUCUUGCAGGGAACUGGCUCAUUUACCGGUUUAUAGGGACUUGGUUGAUGCAGUCACGUACAUACACACACAUGUACACGCGUGGAUGUUCACAUACAGUGAACACUGCCUUUUUACAGUUCAUGGUGCAUUCCUUCACACGUUCAGUUUAUUUAACUAGUUCUUUGUUGAUGAGCACUUAGGCUGUUUAAAAUAUUUUGCUGUUACAAAUAACGCUGUAGCGGUAACACUGCACAGAUAUUUCUCGUGAAGGUACUAGUCUCGUCCAAUUGUUCUCAGAACUGAAUUAUGUGAUCAGAAGUUAUAUGCAUUUGUAAUAUACAUAUAUUAUACAUAUAUAUAUGUCCAAAUAACCUCCAUAGAAGUAGAACACAUGUGUGCGUUUGUGUGUGUGUGUGUGUGUGUGUGUGUGUGUGUGUGUAAAGGGGGGGCAGAUCGUGUAUUUCUAUCAGCAACAUGAGAGUUGACUGGACUUUUGAAAAAGUCUUUGAUCUUUCACGCCAAGAAUUUCCACCCAUCCUCCCUUCCCAGGGCCACCUUCAGACACCAUGUCCUUCACAGAAAAGGCAGUCAGAGGAAAAGAGAUGAGGUCUCGUGGGCAGAACUAACGAGGUUUGAAAUGUCUUUUUUACGUAGCAGUGCCCCUGACUCCAUGGAACUCCGUGUGUUGAGUUUUGUCUGUAUGUUACACUUUGCGUGCACUAAAAUAAAACUUAGUAUUUUUCCCCUGAGACUUAUAUUCGAUUAAAUGUGUAAUUUUAAAAUGCGUUUAGAUUUACAGAAAAAUUUCAAUGUCACAUAAAUUGCACAGAUGGUACAGAGACCUCCUGUGUAUCCUAAUCCAGUUCCUCUCUUAAUAACAGCUUACCUUCCUAUGUACAUUUGUUAAACUUUAAACUCGUUAAAAUUCUAUGAACCAAACAUGCAUUCUGAAGGUUUCCUCACUUUUUACCUUUUGUCCUUUUUCUGUUCCAAGGUGUCCAUCCAAGAUGCCACAUUCCUGUCCACCUUGGUGCUUCUUCUUAAAGUAAUAUGUCAACCUCUGGGUUCUUUAGUCUGAAAUCUCAUUGUUCCGCUGAGAACUUACUUCUCAAAUGGAUGAUGCUCUGGUCUGAAUGUUUGUGUCCACCCCAAAUUCAUAUGUUGAAAACCUAAUAUUCAAGGUGAUAGGAUUGGGGGGGGGGGACCUGUGGGAGGUGAUGAGGUCCUAGCACCACUUGAACAGUGUUGGAGUCUUUAUAAGAGAGGUGGCAGAGGCCUAGCUGUCCCCCCCAACCAUGCUGGCCACAGUAAGACAUGGGACCUCCCCCAACCCUGAUCUUAGACCCCCAUCAUUCAGAACCGUUUGGGGUUCGUAGCUGCAAACUAUUACUUUCAGAAUGGAUAAGCAAUGAGGUCCUGCUGUACAGCCCAGGGAAUUCUGUCCAAUCCCUUGUGAUAGAACAGGAUGGAAGAUAACGUGAGAAAAGCAUGUAUAUACAUACAUACAUGUAUAUAGGACUAGGUCACUUUGCCAUACAGUAGAAAUUGACAGAACAUUGUAAAUCCACAAUACUUUAAUUUUUAAAAAUUAAAAGAAAAAAGAAAAAAUAUAUAUAUAUAGUUUACAGGCUGCCCAGUCUGUGGUAUUGUGUUUUAGCAGCACAAACAGACUAAGACAGAGGAUUAUUUCUCCUUCACAGACAGUAUACCUGAGGGUGGGGAUCAGGGACCAGGGUCCCCCUUGCCUCUCUGUGCUGCCUGCAGACCGUCGCUUCAUCUCCACAUUUCAAAACCCCUGCUCCCAUGAGACGGAAACGAUUGAAAUCUGUCCUACCGCCUCUUCACUGCUGCCGGAAUGGUUCUCCCGGUCGCUUCCUUCUUUCACUGACAGUUUUAACCUCUGGAUCACUGGUGUAUUUCCCAUUUCUUCAUCUACCUUCGACCCUAUUCCUGGAAAUUACCGGCUGCUGGCAUCCACCCGGAGGUGCCAUCCAUGGUGAUUGUGGAGGUACCGUCCACAUCUUGACCUUGGAGCUUCGGGCAUCCUCAGCUGCAGUGGCCUUCCCUGCAGUGCCCUAAGGCCACCGCCUCCCAGGUCCUACAUCAGAAAACAA
Molecule: long non-coding RNA, 4530 nt
Filed under: Sus scrofa (pig)
Lineage: Eukaryota; Metazoa; Chordata; Mammalia; Artiodactyla; Suidae
Description: lncRNA (ENSSSCG00050040253.1)
Source: RNAcentral